GUGAGGGAAUGGUUUUUCGAUU
RNAcentral lists this microRNA (22 nucleotides) under Gyrodactylus salaris (gyrodactylosis fluke). RNAcentral describes it as "gsa-miR-9393-5p". The record is from miRBase by way of RNAcentral. Lineage: Eukaryota; Metazoa; Platyhelminthes; Monogenea; Gyrodactylidea; Gyrodactylidae.